This 390-nucleotide unclassified non-coding RNA is filed under the name soil metagenome. Its description in RNAcentral is "partial contains 5.8S ribosomal RNA, internal transcribed spacer 2, and large subunit ribosomal RNA". The stretch from base 1 to 121 matches the Rfam family "5.8S ribosomal RNA", at positions 35 to 154 of the family's 154-position model. The record is from RNAcentral.
GAUGAAGAACGUAGCGAAAUGCGAUACUUGGUGUGAAUUGCAGAAUCCCGUGAACCAUCGAGUCUUUGAACGCAAGUUGCGCCCGAAGCCAUUAGGCCGAGGGCACGCCUGCCUGGCGUCACACGUCGUUGCCCCCCCAUCUACUCCUUCGGGAUUGCGGGGGGCGGAUGAUGGCCUCCCGUGCGCCUCGUCGCGCGGUUGGCAUAAAUGCCAAGUCCUCGGCGACGCACGCCACGACAAUCGGUGGUUGCGAAACCUCGGUUGCCCGUCGUGUGCGGUCGUCGCGCAUCGAGGGCUCGAAAAAAUUGCCGGGCUCCGGCUCGGCUUUCAACGCGACCCCAGGUCAGGCGGGGUUACCCGUUGAAUUUAAGCAUAUCAAUAAGCGGAGGA